UGAGCAAUCUGCCCUUCACAUCGGAAUAACCAUUGGAAACGAUGGCUAAUACCGAAUAUGACUUCGGAUCGCAUGAUCUGAAGUGGAAAGCUCCGGCGGUGAAGGAUGAGCUCGCGGCCUAUCAGCUUGUUGGUGAGGUAAUAGCUCACAAGGCGAUGGACGGGUAGCCGGCCUGGAGGAGGGUGACCGGCCACGACUGGGACUGAGACACCGGCACGACCG
RNAcentral lists this ribosomal RNA (222 nucleotides) under uncultured bacterium. Its description in RNAcentral is "partial 16S ribosomal RNA". It matches the Rfam family "Bacterial small subunit ribosomal RNA", at positions 118 to 338 of the family's 1533-position model. The record is from RNAcentral.